CCUACGGGAGGCAGCAGUGAGGAAUAUUGGUCAAUGGGCUUACGCCUGAACCAGCCAAGUCGCGUGAGGGAAGACUGCCCUAUGGGUUGUAAACCUCUUUUGUCAGGGAGCAAUUGGCGCUACGUGUAGCGUUAUCGAGAGUACCUGAAGAAAAAGCAUCGGCUAACUCCGUGCCAGCAGCCGCGGUAAUACGGAGGAUGCGAGCGUUAUCCGGAUUUAUUGGGUUUAAAGGGUGCGUAGGCGGAAGGCCAAGUCAGCGGUAAAAUCGCGGGGCUCAACCUCGCUCCGCCGGUGAAACUGGCGUGCUAGAGUGGGCGUGAAGUAUGCGGAAGGCGGGGUGUAGCGGUGAAAGGCAUAGAGAUCAUGCAG
This 369-nucleotide ribosomal RNA is filed under the name uncultured bacterium. Its description in RNAcentral is "partial 16S ribosomal RNA". It matches the Rfam family "Bacterial small subunit ribosomal RNA", at positions 338 to 704 of the family's 1533-position model. The record is from RNAcentral.